RNAcentral lists this ribosomal RNA (253 nucleotides) under uncultured bacterium. RNAcentral describes it as "partial 16S ribosomal RNA". It matches the Rfam family "Bacterial small subunit ribosomal RNA", at positions 524 to 776 of the family's 1533-position model. The record is from RNAcentral.
GACGAGGGGUCCUAGCGUUGUUCGGAAUCACUGGGCGUAAAGCGUUUGUAGGCGGCUCUAUAAGUCGGGUGUGAAAUCCCAUGGCUCAACCAUGGAAGUGCAUUCGAAACUGCAGAGCUUGAAUAUGGAAGAGGAGAGUAGAAUUCCUGGUGUAGUGGUGAAAUACGUAGAUAUCAGGAGGAAUACCAGUGGCGAAGGCGGCUCUCUGGUCCAAUAUUGACGCUGAGAAACGAAAGUGCGGGGAUCAAACAGG